GCAAAUCAGAUAAUAUCCUUCGUCGGUAUAAAAAUCGAAAAUGGAAGGCCAAGCGACAAUGCGGACGCUUUUAGCCGCCGGUGGAACCUAAGCUUAAGAUUCUUCUCCUCCAUUAAAUUGUACACGAAUAUCAGAAUAUUAAAUAAGAGAAUCUCGAUUCUCAAUCUGCCCCCUCAAAUUCCUCGAAUUUUCUCGACUCUCUGAAAAGUUGUCGGUCCGGUGGCGUUUCGCGGAAGCGAAGUUUCUCCGGAUCAAAUUCCAAUUAUCAUGUAAAAACAUUUUCCAUACUCUCUCUUCUCUGUUUUUAUUCUUUUUUGGAACUUUUUAGUUUCUCCCAGAUUUUGAAGCCGAAGAGUUCCCAAAGAAAGACAUGUUGUGUAGGAUGGUACUGCUGCCCCGGAAGAAGAAGACCGGUACGGUGCCGGUUUACUUGAAUGUCUAUGAUUUGACUCCCAUUAAUGGCUAUGCUUACUGGCUUGGCCUCGGGAUUUACCAUUCUGGUGUGCAAGUUCAUGGUGUGGAAUAUGGUUUUGGUGCACACGACCACCCAAGCACAGGUAUCUUUGAGGUUGAACCAAGGCAAUGCCCUGGUUUCACUUUCAGAAA
Molecule: unclassified non-coding RNA, 606 nt
Filed under: Hevea brasiliensis (rubber tree)
Lineage: Eukaryota; Viridiplantae; Streptophyta; Magnoliopsida; Malpighiales; Euphorbiaceae
Source: RNAcentral